This 407-nucleotide long non-coding RNA is filed under the name Medicago truncatula (barrel medic). Its description in RNAcentral is "long non-coding RNA (MTRU_LNC004663)". The record is from RNAcentral. Lineage: Eukaryota; Viridiplantae; Streptophyta; Magnoliopsida; Fabales; Fabaceae.
ACAAAUCUUACACAGUUAGAAGAACUUGACAUAUCUGACAAUUUUCUUACUGGUUCUCUCCCAUAUAACUUCCAUCAAUUAACCAAAUUGCAUGUGCUUCUAUUAAGUAACAACUCCAUUGGUGGGACCUUUCCAAUUUCUUUAACAAAUCUCUCUCAGUUACAAGUCCUUGACAUAUCUGACAAUUUUCUUACUGGUUCUCUCCCAUAUAACUUCCAUCAAUUAACCAAAUUGCAUGUGCUUCUAUUAAGUAACAACUCCAUUGGUGGGACCUUUCCAAUUUCUUUAACAAAUCUCUCUCAGUUACAAGCCCUUGACAUUUCCGACAAUUUACUCCUUGGUACCCUUCCUUCUAAAAUGGCCCUUUCUUCUACUAAAAUGGCCCUUUCUUCUAAACAAUUUUUAUG